UGGGGCGUCGCCAAGUGGUAAGGCAGCGGAUUUUGAUUCCGCCAUGCGGAGGUUCGAAUCCUCCCGCCCCAG
This 72-nucleotide transfer RNA is filed under the name Chelatococcus asaccharovorans. It matches the Rfam family "tRNA". Rfam says of the family: Transfer RNA (tRNA) molecules are approximately 80 nucleotides in length. Their secondary structure includes four short double-helical elements and three loops (D, anti-codon, and T loops). Lineage: Bacteria; Pseudomonadati; Pseudomonadota; Alphaproteobacteria; Hyphomicrobiales; Chelatococcaceae. The record is from Rfam by way of RNAcentral. RNAcentral also lists the same sequence under 6 other names.